This 1695-nucleotide small RNA is filed under the name Pongo abelii (Sumatran orangutan). RNAcentral's name for it is "processed transcript". Lineage: Eukaryota; Metazoa; Chordata; Mammalia; Primates; Hominidae. The record is from RNAcentral.
AGAUAGAUACAUGGCCAGGAAUAUGUCAAUGCUUUUCAAAGCUCUUAUUCCCCAAAUUGUCUCCUUCCCCAGCCCUUCCUCCCAAGGUUUUUGGUUUGUAUUUUUGCCCCAACUGUUUUUCCUUGCCCCCAGGAACCAGAGACUAAUAAUGUCCUUUCCUUUAAAUGUUUUCAAGGAAAGUUCCAAGUUAGGCAAAAUAAAUGUAAGUCCUUUGGGCUCAUCCUUCAGGGAGCCACCAGACAGGUAAAAAUAAAUAAUUUUUAUUGUUUAUUCUUUGACAAUAAGAAAUAGGCCCCCUUUGCUUCCUCAGUACUAGGAAACCAUACUGGGAAUAUGGGUUAUCUUCAAAGCUGUUGCUGAGCAGGAGACAGAGCCAGCACAAGUUAAAACACUACAAAGCCCUUUUACUGGGACUCAGGUAGUUUUUUGUUUCCUUUUUCCUCAUUAAAGGUUUGCCUGGUUACUAUAAACUUUUGAUUAGUUUUGAGAGUUCCGACAGUUGAUUCUGACAGAUUUUGCUGGUUAAUUUGCUGCUUUCGUGGAGGGACAAGCUUUUGUCAUUGUUUAUUAUACUAUUUUCACUGACAUACCCUGUAUUUUUUUAAAUGUGGGUUGCAGCCCGCUAAUGAAUUAGUAUCUACAGUUUGAAAAAAUUGUCUGAUAUCCUUGUUGUCCUAAAAAAUAUAUGAACUAAGUAGUUAGGGGAAUUCCAUUCUAAGAGUAUGUUGAUUUAACUCUGUUCACUUUAACAAAGAAGUCUGAAAAUAUAACAAGUUUUGUUUCACCGUUCUUCAAAUGUCUUGGCAAAAUUGAGUACACUGCUUACCAUGUGUGUUAUUAGGAUAUCCAGGAGUUUUAGUGAUAUGGGAUCCCAAUUAUAGAUGUGUUCAUGUCCACAAAGUCCUCGUACUUCAGGGAUGUUUGUACUGUGCAAUUGCUUCUUAGAAUGAUGUUACGGAUAGACUAUCUUGUCCUUUGCUUCAGCUUUGGGACAUCCGGAAGAAAGCAGCCAUCCAGACAUUUCAGAACACGUACCAGGUGUUAGCUGUGACCUUCAAUGACACAAGUGAUCAGAUUAUUUCUGGUGGAAUAGAUAAUGAUAUCAAGGUCUGGGACCUGCGCCAGAACAAGUUAACCUACACCAUGAGAGGCCAUGCAGAUUCAGUGACUGGCCUGAGUUUAAGUUCUGAAGGCUCUUAUCUUUUGUCCAAUGCAAUGGACAAUACAGUUCGUGUCUGGGAUGUCCGGCCGUUUGCCCCCAAAGAGAGGUGUGUAAAGAUAUUUCAAGGAAAUGUGCACAACUUUGAAAAGAACCUUCUGAGAUGUUCUUGGUCACCUGAUGGAAGCAAAAUAGCAGCUGGCUCAGCCGACAGGUUUGUGUAUGUGUGGGAUACCACAAGCAGGAGAAUAUUGUAUAAGCUGCCCGGCCAUGCUGGCUCCAUCAAUGAAGUUGCUUUCCACCCUGACGAGCCCAUCAGCAAGCUCCCCAUGGCCUCUAAAAACCACCUGCCAGAUUUCAGGGACUGUUUUAUUUUUUUCUUUUUCUUUUUUCCUGUUUUCUAAUGCAGGCCCAAUGUGACAAAUUUGUUGGUUGGGAUUUUUUUUUUUUUUUGGUAACUGGCUUGUAUGAUAUUUUCUUUCUGUAUUUCUGUAAAUCAUUUUGUAUUAAAAGCCAAAUAGAUGCCUUUUUACAAG